RNAcentral lists this ribosomal RNA (873 nucleotides) under Bacillus velezensis. RNAcentral describes it as "bacterial SSU rRNA". It matches the Rfam family "Bacterial small subunit ribosomal RNA", at positions 71 to 927 of the family's 1533-position model. The record is from RNAcentral. Lineage: Bacteria; Bacillati; Bacillota; Bacilli; Caryophanales; Bacillaceae.
GAUGGGAGCUUGCUCCCUGAUGUUAGCGGCGGACGGGUGAGUAACACGUGGGUAACCUGCCUGUAAGACUGGGAUAACUCCGGGAAACCGGGGCUAAUACCGGAUGGUUGUUUGAACCGCAUGGUUCAGACAUAAAAGGUGGCUUCGGCUACCACUUACAGAUGGACCCGCGGCGCAUUAGCUAGUUGGUGAGGUAACGGCUCACCAAGGCAACGAUGCGUAGCCGACCUGAGAGGGUGAUCGGCCACACUGGGACUGAGACACGGCCCAGACUCCUACGGGAGGCAGCAGUAGGGAAUCUUCCGCAAUGGACGAAAGUCUGACGGAGCAACGCCGCGUGAGUGAUGAAGGUUUUCGGAUCGUAAAGCUCUGUUGUUAGGGAAGAACAAGUGCCGUUCAAAUAGGGCGGCACCUUGACGGUACCUAACCAGAAAGCCACGGCUAACUACGUGCCAGCAGCCGCGGUAAUACGUAGGUGGCAAGCGUUGUCCGGAAUUAUUGGGCGUAAAGGGCUCGCAGGCGGUUUCUUAAGUCUGAUGUGAAAGCCCCCGGCUCAACCGGGGAGGGUCAUUGGAAACUGGGGAACUUGAGUGCAGAAGAGGAGAGUGGAAUUCCACGUGUAGCGGUGAAAUGCGUAGAGAUGUGGAGGAACACCAGUGGCGAAGGCGACUCUCUGGUCUGUAACUGACGCUGAGGAGCGAAAGCGUGGGGAGCGAACAGGAUUAGAUACCCUGGUAGUCCACGCCGUAAACGAUGAGUGCUAAGUGUUAGGGGGUUUCCGCCCCUUAGUGCUGCAGCUAACGCAUUAAGCACUCCGCCUGGGGAGUACGGUCGCAAGACUGAAACUCAAAGGAAUUGACGGGGGCCCGCACA